GAACGCGAAGAACCUUACCUACCCUUGACAUCCUGCGAAUCCCGAUGAGAGUUGGGAGUGCCGCAAGGAACGCAGAGACAGGUGCUGCAUGGCUGUCGUCAGCUCGUGUUGUGAGAUGUUGGGUUAAGUCCCGUAACGAGCGCAACCCUUGUCCUUAGUUGCCAUCAUUUAGUUGGGGACUCUAAGGAGACUGCCGGUGAUGAACCGGAGGAAGCGGGGACGACGUCAAGUCAUCAUGGCCUUUAUGGGUAGGGCUACACACGUGCUACAAUGGGGCGUACAGAGGGUCGCCAACCCGCGAGGGGGAGCCAAUCUCUUAAAGCGUCUCGUAGUCCGGAUCGGAGUCUGCAACUCGACUCCGUGAAGUCGGAAUCGCUAGUAAUCGCGAAUCAGCAUUGUCGCGGUGAAUACGUUCCCGGGUCUUGUACACACC
RNAcentral lists this ribosomal RNA (433 nucleotides) under uncultured bacterium. Its description in RNAcentral is "bacterial SSU rRNA". It matches the Rfam family "Bacterial small subunit ribosomal RNA", at positions 957 to 1391 of the family's 1533-position model. The record is from RNAcentral.